Molecule: ribosomal RNA, 2154 nt
Filed under: Triticum aestivum (bread wheat)
Lineage: Eukaryota; Viridiplantae; Streptophyta; Magnoliopsida; Poales; Poaceae
Description: partial small subunit ribosomal RNA
Source: RNAcentral
AUGGAAGGAUUCAUGGAGGAGGUGCAGAAGGCAUGGCAUGGAACCUGCCCUCGUGGAAAGCCGAUUGCUGUCUUCAACAGGAAGAUGAAGGCUACUGCCAAGGCACUAGCAAAAUGGAGCGCCCAACUCUGCAACAACAUAGCACUCAAAACAGCUAUCACAAGUGAACUGAUCAUGAGACUGGACACGGCCAUGGAUCGGCGCCAACUCUCAGAGGCUGAACAUGAAUUUCAGAAUGCAUUGAAGAUGCAAAGGUUAGGUUUGGCGGCAAUGGAGAGGUCGCUCUGGAGGCAGAGAUCCAGAGUUCUAAGGAUAAAAGAAGAUGAUGCAGGCACCCGGUUCUUUCGCGCCAAAGCAUCCGCAAGGUGCCGAAGAAACUACAUCCACAGGAUUGUUCAGGGAGACAUCAUACACACUGACCAAGAAGCGAAGAUGGAUGCUAUCCAUAGCUAUUUUGAGGAGUUUCUGGGAACAAGGAUGCCAAGGAAUCACACCAUCGACCUUUCUGCGAUAGGCAUUGAGAGCUCUGAUCUAGCAGACUUGGAGACCCCCUUCACUGACGAGGAAGUGCUAGCCGUAGUAAAGGACGUUAAUGGAGACAAAGCCCCGGGGCCAGAUGGAUUCACAGGACUAUUCUAUCAGCAAUGUUGGCACAUCAUCAAACCUGAGCUAAUGGCAGCGAUCAGGGCAGUCGAACAAUUAGAUGCCGCACAACUCCGCCCCUUAAAUACUGCAACGAUGAUUCUGCUCCCAAAGCGAGAAGAUGCUGCUGGACCAAGGGAUUUCAGACCAAUAUGCCUCGUUGAUAGUUUCACCAAGCUUUUUGCGAAGAUUUUGGCCAGCCGCUUGCGUUGCAGGAUGGACGCACUUGUCAGACCUUGCCAAAACGCAUUCAUUAAGGGCAGAAAUAUACAUGAUAAUUACAUCUAUGUCAGAGGGAUUGCAAGGGCGCUACAACAAGCAAAGACCCCAGCCAUGAUGAUCAAGCUUGACAUCGAAAAAGCAUUUGAUACGGUGUCAUGGGAAUUCUUGCUGGAAGUUUUGCAGGCGAAGGGGUUCGGCAGGAAAUGGUUGAAUUGGAUUUCAAAUCUGCUUGCCACUCAAUCCACUCGGGUGCUCAUCAAUGGGCAACUUUCCGAGCCAAUUAUUCAUAGAAGAGGUUUGCGCCAAGGCGACCCAUUAUCACCGCUCCUCUUCGUCAUCGUCCUGGACUGCAUGGCAACAAUGUUCGCCAAAUCAUCUCAAGUAGGGAUUCUAAAGCCCAUUGGCAACCAGAGAUUGGCCUACAGAACAUCCCUAUACGCCGACGAUGCAAUUAUAUUCAUAAACCCAGACAUCCAAGAGAUGAAGGCUGUUCAGGAUAUGCUAGACGCCUUUGGUACAGCUUCAGGAUUGCGUACAAACUAUGGAAAGAGCUCAUUAACACCUAUCUGCUGCGGAGGGAUAGAUAUGGAAGCAAUUGCCGGGGAGCUGGGCUGCCCGAUCAAGCACUUUCCUUGCACAUACCUGGGCAUGCCUCUCUCUGACUGCAGGAUCACUAGAGCUGACUGGCAACCGGCGCUGGACAAGGUCUACGGCAAGAUGAAGGGAUGGAAAUUAGCUCACUUCUCCAUGGACGCCCGGCUGAGCCUAGUGCAACAGGUCCUCUCGGCCAUGCUUGUCUUCCAAAUGAUCGCCAUCGACCCUCCGGUCUGGCUACGUAAAGCUAUUGAUAAGGUCCGAAGAGGAUUCCUUUGGGAGAGCAAAGAGGUCGCCUCGGGCGGGAAAUGUUUGGUAAACUGGAGGGCCGUAUGCAGACCGCGAGAGCUCGGAGGGCUCGGCAUCACCAAUAUUGAGGCACAGAGCACAGCGCUUAGAAUGAGAUGGCUUUGGCAAACAUGGACCGAACCUGAAAAGCCAUGGCUGGGCUUGCCAUUGCCCACGGAUGAGCGUGUAAGGGCACUCUUCAAUGCAUCAGUGAAAUUCCAUCCUGGAAACGGCAAGAAGAUAAGCUUUUGGACGGAACCUUGGCUCCUAAGUGCAAGUCUGAACAUUUGCCUCCCCGAACUCUACAAACACUGCACAAGAAAGAAGCUCACGGUGGCAGAAGCAAUCGGCGAUGCAAGAUGGACAAGACAUAUCAAAGCAAACCCCUCAGGCCAGGCCAUCCAGGAG